UGCAGUCGAGCGAACGGAUAAGGAGCUUGCUCCUUUGAAGUUAGCGGCGGACGGGUGAGUAACACGUGGGUAACCUACCUAUAAGACUGGGAUAACUUCGGGAAACCGGAGCUAAUACCGGAUAACAUUUAGAACCGCAUGGUUCUAAAGUGAAAGAUGGUUUUGCUAUCACUUAUAGAUGGACCCGCGCCGUAUUAGCUAGUUGGUAAGGUAACGGCUUACCAAGGCGACGAUACGUAGCCGACCUGAGAGGGUGAUCGGCCACACUGGAACUGAGACACGGUCCAGACUCCUACGGGAGGCAGCAGUAGGGAAUCUUCCGCAAUGGGCGAAAGCCUGACGGAGCAACGCCGCGUGAGUGAUGAAGGGUUUCGGCUCGUAAAACUCUGUUAUUAGGGAAGAACAAAUGUGUAAGUAACUGUGCACAUCUUGACGGUACCUAAUCAGAAAGCCACGGCUAACUACGUGCCAGCAGCCGCGGUAAUACGUAGGUGGCAAGCGUUAUCCGGAAUUAUUGGGCGUAAAGCGCGCGUAGGCGGUUUCUUAAGUCUGAUGUGAAAGCCCACGGCUCAACCGUGGAGGGUCAUUGGAAACUGGGAAACUUGAGUGCAGAAGAGGAAAGUGGAAUUCCAUGUGUAGCGGUGAAAUGCGCAGAGAUAUGGAGGAACACCAGUGGCGAAGGCGACUUUCUGGUCUGUAACUGACGCUGAUGUGCGAAAGCGUGGGAUCAAACAGGAUUAGAUA
Molecule: ribosomal RNA, 744 nt
Filed under: Staphylococcus sp. Y79-MSE-E14
Lineage: Bacteria; Bacillati; Bacillota; Bacilli; Caryophanales; Staphylococcaceae
Description: bacterial SSU rRNA
Rfam family: Bacterial small subunit ribosomal RNA
Source: RNAcentral